This 665-nucleotide ribosomal RNA is filed under the name Escherichia coli. RNAcentral's name for it is "partial 23S ribosomal RNA". It matches the Rfam family "Bacterial large subunit ribosomal RNA", at positions 2257 to 2916 of the family's 2925-position model. The record is from RNAcentral. Lineage: Bacteria; Pseudomonadati; Pseudomonadota; Gammaproteobacteria; Enterobacterales; Enterobacteriaceae.
UCUGGUGGGUAGUUUGACUGGGGCGGUCUCCUCCUAAAGAGUAACGGAGGAGCACGAAGGUUGGCUAAUCCUGGUCGGACAUCAGGAGGUUAGUGCAAUGGCAUAAGCCAGCUUGACUGCGAGCGUGACGGCGCGAGCAGGUGCGAAAGCAGGUCAUAGUGAUCCGGUGGUUCUGAAUGGAAGGGCCAUCGCUCAACGGAUAAAAGGUACUCCGGGGAUAACAGGCUGAUACCGCCCAAGAGUUCAUAUCGACGGCGGUGUUUGGCACCUCGAUGUCGGCUCAUCACAUCCUGGGGCUGAAGUAGGUCCCAAGGGUAUGGCUGUUCGCCAUUUAAAGUGGUACGCGAGCUGGGUUUAGAACGUCGUGAGACAGUUCGGUCCCUAUCUGCCGUGGGCGCUGGAGAACUGAGGGGGGCUGCUCCUAGUACGAGAGGACCGGAGUGGACGCAUCACUGGUGUUCGGGUUGUCAUGCCAAUGGCACUGCCCGGUAGCUAAAUGCGGAAGAGAUAAGUGCUGAAAGCAUCUAAGCACGAAACUUGCCCCGAGAUGAGUUCUCCCUGACUCCUUGAGAGUCCUGAAGGAACGUUGAAGACGACGACGUUGAUAGGCCGGGUGUGUAAGCGCAGCGAUGCGUUGAGCUAACCGGUACUAAUGAACCGUGAGG